This 301-nucleotide ribosomal RNA is filed under the name uncultured bacterium. Its description in RNAcentral is "partial 16S ribosomal RNA". It matches the Rfam family "Bacterial small subunit ribosomal RNA", at positions 509 to 807 of the family's 1533-position model. The record is from RNAcentral.
CAGCAGCCACGGGAAUACGGAGGGUGCAAGCGUUAAUCGGAAUUACUGGGCGUAAAGCGCACGCAGGCGGUCUGUCAAGUCAGAUGUGAAAUCCCCGGGCUUAACCUGGGAACUGCAUUUGAAACUGGCAGGCUAGAGUCUUGUAGAGGGGGGUAGAAUUCCAGGUGUAGCGGUGAAAUGCGUAGAGAUCUGGAGGAAUACCGGUGGCGAAGGCGGCCCCCUGGACAAAGACUGACGCUCAGGUGCGAAAGCGUGGGGAGCAAACAGGAUUAGAUACCCCAGUAGUCCCUGUCUCUUAUAC